Long non-coding RNA from Oxyura jamaicensis (ruddy duck), 990 nucleotides. RefSeq lists it as uncharacterized. The record is from RefSeq and is a predicted model, not a curated record. NCBI's taxonomy places the organism in Eukaryota, Metazoa, Chordata, Aves, Anseriformes, Anatidae. The transcript has 3 exons.
AGGGAAAGAGGGAGGGAAGGGGAGGACGGAGGCCGCUGGGGUGCGAAGGGAUGGCGGAGGGGGUAGAGGGAAGGGUGGGGUGGGGGGGGUGAGGAGAGAAGGGGUUGAUCCGCCUGCGCCGGGGAGGCGCGAGGGAACGAAUGUGGGGCGGAGAGUGGAGGAGGAUUAAAAAAAAAAAAAAAAAAAGAGAGAAGAAGAAGAAAAAGCCCAGGGGAAGUCGAGGGCUGAAGGGUUACGGGAUUUAUGGCGGGGGUAAGGCGCUGGGGGGAGUGUGAGGUGAGGGGGCAGCGCCAUGACCCGCGGCCCGGCUGCCGGGGGCUGUUCGGGGUCCCUGGCCUUGGGGUCUGGAAGGGUCGUUGGUGUAGGGGCGUUAUUUGUGUGAGGAAGUUAUUUGUUUGAGGAAAUUAUUUAUGAGGGAGAGUUAUUUGUGAAGGGGGCAGCGGGCCCGGCGCUCCCCGGACCUGGCCUCAGGGGAGGCCCCGGGCACCCCCCUCACAUGCCGAGCUCUGCGGCCUGCCCUCCCGGGAGCGGAGGUUUUUCGUAGAACUAUAGAAUAUCCCGAGUUGGAAGGGACCCAUAUUUGUAUUUACAGCUUAACCCACGGUGAUGUGCUGCUGGUGCUGGGCCUUCUGGGGUUUUCAGGUGUGUGGGCAGCUCAAGGAAUAUAAUUCUAGAAAGCAUGGAUGAAAAAGAUCCAGUCUGUUUCACGUGCUGCCACUGCAAGAGUGUUUGCAUGUUUUCAUUAAAGGUUUUCAAAUCCCUAGGCGCUCUAGAAAUGCAAAGCUUUGCCGACAUGUCUCCUAUUUUUAAAUACUUUUGACUCCGAUGUGGUUAAUGGAAGGAAAUCCAAAGUAUUUGGGCCAAAAAAGUACUUGCAGCACUUGGGCCGAGCAGUUGUCUCCAUCUUAGUGAGUACAGAUAUUUUUGCGAGGCUCAGUGCUGCGUUCAGCCGCCUGUCUCCGGGAGCUGAAGGCGGCCGUGACGAUACCG